RNAcentral lists this ribosomal RNA (263 nucleotides) under uncultured bacterium. Its description in RNAcentral is "partial 16S ribosomal RNA". It matches the Rfam family "Bacterial small subunit ribosomal RNA", at positions 793 to 1055 of the family's 1533-position model. The record is from RNAcentral.
GUCCACGCCGUAAACGAUGGGCACUAGGUGUGGGAGGUGUCGACUCCUCCCGUGCCGUCGCUAACGCACUAAGUGCCCCGCCUGGGGAGUACGGCCGCAAGGCUAAAACUCAAAGGAAUUGACGGGGGCCCGCACAAGCAGCGGAGCAUGUGGUUUAAUUCGACGCAACGCGAAGAACCUUACCUGGGCUUGACAUGUUGGUGACCACCGUGGAAACACGGUUUUCCUUCGGGACACCAUCACAGGUGGUGCAUGGCUGUCGU